RNAcentral lists this ribosomal RNA (484 nucleotides) under uncultured bacterium. RNAcentral describes it as "partial 16S ribosomal RNA". It matches the Rfam family "Bacterial small subunit ribosomal RNA", at positions 28 to 523 of the family's 1533-position model. The record is from RNAcentral.
GACGAACGCUGGCGGCGUGCUUAACACAUGCAAGUCGAACGAUGAACCCGGAGCUUGCUCCGGUGGAUUAGUGGCGAACGGGUGAGUAACACGUGAGUAACCUGCCCUUGACUCUGGGAUAACUGCGGGAAACUGUAGCUAAUACCGGAUACGACCCUCGGCGGCAUCGCCAGGGGGUGGAAAGAAUUUCGGUCAAGGAUGGACUCGCGGCCUAUCGGCUAGUUGGUGAGGUAACGGCUCACCAAGGCGACGACGGGUAGCCGGCCUGAGAGGGUGACCGGCCACACUGGGACUGAGAAACGGCCCAGACUCCUACGGGAGGCAGCAGUGGGGAAUAUUGCACAAUGGGCGCAAGCCUGAUGCAGCAACGCCGCGUGAGGGAUGACGGCCUUCGGGUUGUAAACCUCUUUUAGCAGGGAAGAAGCGAAAGUGACGGUGCCUGCAGAAAAAGCACCGGCUAACUACGUGCCAGCCGCCGCCGUAA